GGGUUGUGAGGUUAAGCGACUAAGCGUACACGGUGGAUGCCCUGGCAGUCAGAGGCGAUGAAGGACGUGCUAAUCUGCGAUAAGCGUCGGUAAGGUGAUAUGAACCGUUAUAACCGGCGAUUUCCGAAUGGGGAAACCCAGUGUGAUUCGACACACUAUCAUUAACUGAAUCCAUAGGUUAAUGAGGCGAACCGGGGGAACUGAAACAUCUAAGUACCCCGAGGAAAAGAAAUCAACCGAGAUUCCCCCAGUAGCGGCGAGCGAACGGGGAGCAGCCCAGAGCCUGAAUCAGUGUGUGUGUUAGUGGAAGCGUCUGGAAAGGCGCGCGAUACAGGGUGACAGCCCCGUACACAAAAAUGCACAUGCUGUGAGCUCGAUGAGUAGGGCGGGACACGUGGUAUCCUGUCUGAAUAUGGGGGGACCAUCCUCCAAGGCUAAAUACUCCUGACUGACCGAUAGUGAACCAGUACCGUGAGGGAAAGGCGAAAAGAACCCCGGCGAGGGGAGUGAAAAAGAACCUGAAACCGUGUACGUACAAGCAGUGGGAGCACAGAGCAAUCUGUGUGACUGCGUACCUUUUGUAUAAUGGGUCAGCGACUUAUAUUCUGUAGCAAGGUUAACCGAAUAGGGGAGCCGAAGGGAAACCGAGUCUUAACUGGGCGUUAAGUUGCAGGGUAUAGACCCGAAACCCGGUGAUCUAGCCAUGGGCAGGUUGAAGGUUGGGUAACACUAACUGGAGGACCGAACCGACUAAUGUUGAAAAAUUAGCGGAUGACUUGUGGCUGGGGGUGAAAGGCCAAUCAAACCGGGAGAUAGCUGGUUCUCCCCGAAAGCUAUUUAGGUAGCGCCUCGUGAAUUCAUCUCCGGGGGUAGAGCACUGUUUCGGCAAGGGGGUCAUCCCGACUUACCAACCCGAUGCAAACUGCGAAUACCGGAGAAUGUUAUCACGGGAGACACACGGCGGGUGCUAACGUCCGUCGUGAAGAGGGAAACAACCCAGACCGCCAGCUAAGGUCCCAAAGUCAUGGUUAAGUGGGAAACGAUGUGGGAAGGCCCAGACAGCCAGGAUGUUGGCUUAGAAGCAGCCAUCAUUUAAAGAAAGCGUAAUAGCUCACUGGUCGAGUCGGCCUGCGCGGAAGAUGUAACGGGGCUAAACCAUGCACCGAAGCUGCGGCAGCGACGCUUAUGCGUUGUUGGGUAGGGGAGCGUUCUGUAAGCCUGUGAAGGUGUACUGUGAGGUAUGCUGGAGGUAUCAGAAGUGCGAAUGCUGACAUAAGUAACGAUAAAGCGGGUGAAAAGCCCGCUCGCCGGAAGACCAAGGGUUCCUGUCCAACGUUAAUCGGGGCAGGGUGAGUCGACCCCUAAGGCGAGGCCGAAAGGCGUAGUCGAUGGGAAACAGGUUAAUAUUCCUGUACUUGGUGUUACUGCGAAGGGGGGACGGAGAAGGCUAUGUUGGCCGGGCGACGGUUGUCCCGGUUUAAGCGUGUAGGCUGGUUUUCCAGGCAAAUCCGGAAAAUCAAGGCUGAGGCGUGAUGACGAGGCACUACGGUGCUGAAGCAACAAAUGCCCUGCUUCCAGGAAAAGCCUCUAAGCAUCAGGUAACAUCAAAUCGUACCCCAAACCGACACAGGUGGUCAGGUAGAGAAUACCAAGGCGCUUGAGAGAACUCGGGUGAAGGAACUAGGCAAAAUGGUGCCGUAACUUCGGGAGAAGGCACGCUGAUAUGUAGGUGAAGUCCCUCGCGGAUGGAGCUGAAAUCAGUCGAAGAUACCAGCUGGCUGCAACUGUUUAUUAAAAACACAGCACUGUGCAAACACGAAAGUGGACGUAUACGGUGUGACGCCUGCCCGGUGCCGGAAGGUUAAUUGAUGGGGUUAGCGCAAGCGAAGCUCUUGAUCGAAGCCCCGGUAAACGGCGGCCGUAACUAUAACGGUCCUAAGGUAGCGAAAUUCCUUGUCGGGUAAGUUCCGACCUGCACGAAUGGCGUAAUGAUGGCCAGGCUGUCUCCACCCGAGACUCAGUGAAAUUGAACUCGCUGUGAAGAUGCAGUGUACCCGCGGCAAGACGGAAAGACCCCGUGAACCUUUACUAUAGCUUGACACUGAACAUUGAGCCUUGAUGUGUAGGAUAGGUGGGAGGCUUUGAAGUGUGGACGCCAGUCUGCAUGGAGCCGACCUUGAAAUACCACCCUUUAAUGUUUGAUGUUCUAACGUUGACCCGUAAUCCGGGUUGCGGACAGUGUCUGGUGGGUAGUUUGACUGGGGCGGUCUCCUCCUAAAGAGUAACGGAGGAGCACGAAGGUUGGCUAAUCCUGGUCGGACAUCAGGAGGUUAGUGCAAUGGCAUAAGCCAGCUUGACUGCGAGCGUGACGGCGCGAGCAGGUGCGAAAGCAGGUCAUAGUGAUCCGGUGGUUCUGAAUGGAAGGGCCAUCGCUCAACGGAUAAAAGGUACUCCGGGGAUAACAGGCUGAUACCGCCCAAGAGUUCAUAUCGACGGCGGUGUUUGGCACCUCGAUGUCGGCUCAUCACAUCCUGGGGCUGAAGUAGGUCCCAAGGGUAUGGCUGUUCGCCAUUUAAAGUGGUACGCGAGCUGGGUUUAGAACGUCGUGAGACAGUUCGGUCCCUAUCUGCCGUGGGCGCUGGAGAACUGAGGGGGGCUGCUCCUAGUACGAGAGGACCGGAGUGGACGCAUCACUGGUGUUCGGGUUGUCAUGCCAAUGGCACUGCCCGGUAGCUAAAUGCGGAAGAGAUAAGUGCUGAAAGCAUCUAAGCACGAAACUUGCCCCGAGAUGAGUUCUCCCUGACUCCUUGAGAGUCCUGAAGGAACGUUGAAGACGACGACGUUGAUAGGCCGGGUGUGUAAGCGCAGCGAUGCGUUGAGCUAACCGGUACUAAUGAACCGUGAGGCUUAACCUUACAACGCCGAAGGUGUUU
RNAcentral lists this ribosomal RNA (2933 nucleotides) under Escherichia coli. RNAcentral's name for it is "bacterial LSU rRNA". It matches the Rfam family "Bacterial large subunit ribosomal RNA". Lineage: Bacteria; Pseudomonadati; Pseudomonadota; Gammaproteobacteria; Enterobacterales; Enterobacteriaceae. The record is from RNAcentral.